Prunus persica (peach) is the source of this 1308-nucleotide long non-coding RNA. RefSeq lists it as uncharacterized. The transcript is spliced from 2 exons. NCBI's taxonomy places the organism in Eukaryota, Viridiplantae, Streptophyta, Magnoliopsida, Rosales, Rosaceae. The record is from RefSeq and is a predicted model, not a curated record.
AUGGAGCUUGUAGUCUCUAACAUUAUAGCAAAGCUAGAUUGUGCAAUGUUUCAGACUUUGAGUUCCUUAGUCGGCCAUUAAUUGCGAUAGAGGCCCACACAUUCACCUACCCAUCUAACACACUUCCAUUUUUCACUCCCAAAUUUCUCUCUCUUGUUUUUGUUUUUUUUUAUAUAUAUAUGUUUUUUCUACUUUCCCCAGCAUAUACCCUUUUGCCCCUUUUGUUCCAUCAAUACCUUUGAUGACUCAGAAACACACCACCUAAAGACCCGUUCAAUUGCUCUUAAGAAAGCUUUUUCUUGAUAGGCUCUGCGUUGUUCAAAGACUAUUACUACAUGUUACCUUAUUUAAUUUUGCUCACUAGCCACAUACAUAAUCAAAAUCUAAAUGCACAUGACUCAGUCCCUGCAUUUAUUUCCUCGUGUUUCCACAUUCCGUCAUUGUUUUAUACCUCAAUUUCAUCUCACGUUCACAGGCUUCAUUCACACCCCAAACAUUGCAUUUUCAUUUAUAUAUACAUACCUGAUAUCCAUUAAUCGAAGAUAAAGUUUUGGAAACAGAGGGCUUGACAAAACCCCCUUCUCUCUUCCUCGAUUUUGCUUCAUCUUGUAUUCUAUAUAGGCUUUUUGAACUGCCUGGUGGAAAUGGGCAAAAGACAUGAUCAUCAAAUACUACUUGUAGUGGCGCUGCGGUUACUCCUGCUGCUCAUCUUUCUGGUCGGCCAUACUCAGAGCUCAAGAACAUUGCAGAGUCAAGUUUUCAAGGUAAUGAAGCCCAACUCUGAUCACAAUCCACAUGAGGGUAGCUUUUUUGCAUUCUUACCAAAAGCUUCGCCAAUCCCUCCAUCUGGACCUUCCAAGGAGCACAAUGGUGUUGGGUUACAAAGCUCAUCACAGCUCUCACCUUGAAGACACACAUAUAUAUAUAUAUAUAAUAUAUAAUCUUUCUACAGACAAAGGUAGAUGUUGCUGCUCAUAUUUCUUCUUCAACUCACAGAACCAAUAUUGGUCAUGGGCAAUGUACAUGGGGUUGAUGGAUAUAUAUAUCUCUCCAUAAUUUUUGUUAUUUUUGUUUGUUGCAGCUUAAUUUUAUGAGAAGCUAUUAUAAUUAGCAUGGCAAGUUUCAAUGUUUCUGGGUAUGGAUUUGUCUCCUUCUUGGAAGAGCAAGAGUAAAUUUUCAUCCAGCUGAUGAUGAACAGGAAGUUUUGUAAGGAAAAAAAGAACCAAAAAAAUAGGCCAUUAAUUCAAAUUUAACAAGUUUGAAUUUGUGUCUUCUUCCACAAGUUUGAUGCAGAAAAAGUAAAGAUUA